GGAAUCUUCCACAAUGGGCGCAAGCCUGAUGGAGCAACGCCGCGUGAGUGAAGAAGGUCUUCGGAUCGUAAAACUCUGUUGUUAGAGAAGAACACGAGUGAGAGUAACUGUUCAUUCGAUGACGGUAUCUAACCAGCAAGUCACGGCUAACUACGUGCCUG
This 161-nucleotide ribosomal RNA is filed under the name uncultured bacterium. RNAcentral describes it as "partial 16S rRNA". It matches the Rfam family "Bacterial small subunit ribosomal RNA", at positions 358 to 511 of the family's 1533-position model. The record is from RNAcentral.